AUGGUAGAUGACAAAUUGGUUAGUCGCUCCGUUUGGGUCGGAGAUAUAUAGCGUGUUCGAAUCGCGUCUACCAUA
Molecule: transfer RNA, 75 nt
Filed under: Taiwanofungus camphoratus
Lineage: Eukaryota; Fungi; Basidiomycota; Agaricomycetes; Polyporales; Taiwanofungaceae
Also listed under: 1 other name
Description: tRNA-Pro
Source: RNAcentral